RNAcentral lists this ribosomal RNA (406 nucleotides) under uncultured bacterium. RNAcentral's name for it is "partial 16S ribosomal RNA". It matches the Rfam family "Bacterial small subunit ribosomal RNA", at positions 30 to 526 of the family's 1533-position model. The record is from RNAcentral.
AUUGAACGCUGGCGGCAGGCCUAACACAUGCAAGUCGAGCGAGCGGCGGACGGGUGAGUAAUGUAUGGGGAUCUGCCCGAUAGAGGGGGAUAACUACUGGAAACGGUGGCUAAUACCGCAUACUAUCGGAUGAACCCAUAUGGGAGUAGCUAGUAGGUGGGGUAACGGCUCAACUAGGAGACGAUCUCUAGCUGGUCUGAGAGGAUGACCAGCCACACGGGAACUGAGACACGGCCCAGACUCCUACGGGAGGUAGCAGUGGGGAAUAUUGCACAAUGGGCGCAAGCCUGAUGCAGCCAUGCCGCGUGUAUGAAGAAGGCCUUAGGGUUGUAAAGUACUUUCAGCGGGGAGGCGUUACCCGCAGAAGAAGCACCGGCUAACUCCGGGCCAGCAGCCGCGGUAAUUC